UAACGAAUAUUGGGCAAUGGGCGAAAGCCUGACCCAGCAAUGCCGCGUGCAGGACGAAGUCCUUCGGGAUGUAAACUGCUGUCAGGGGUCCGCAAGCGAAGGGGUCCAACAGGCCCUGGAGUUGAGCAGCCCCAGAGGAAGCCUCGACUAACUCUGUGCCAGCCGUCGCGGUAAGCCAGAGGAGGCCAGCGUUGUUCGGAAUCACUGGGCUUAAAGCGCGUGUAGGCGGCUUAGAAAGUGUCGUGUGAAAUCCCGCGGCUCAACCGCGGAACUGCACGGCAAACUACUGGGCUUGAGGGCGGUAGAGGUGCCUGGAACUCUAGGUGGAGCGGUGAAAUGCGUAGAUAUCUAGAGGAACGCCAGAAGCGAAAGCGGGGCACUGGGCCGAUUCUGACGCUGAGACGCGAAAGCGUGGGGAGCAAACA
RNAcentral lists this ribosomal RNA (425 nucleotides) under uncultured prokaryote. RNAcentral describes it as "bacterial SSU rRNA". It matches the Rfam family "Bacterial small subunit ribosomal RNA", at positions 355 to 774 of the family's 1533-position model. The record is from RNAcentral.